CAGCCGCCACGGUAAAACGAAGGGUGCAAGCGUUACUCGGAAUUACUGGGCGUAAAGCGUGCGUAGGUGGUGGUUUAAGUCCGUUGUGAAAGCCCUGGGCUCAACCUGGGAAUUGCAGUGGAUACUGGGUCACUAGAGUGUGGUAGAGGAUAGUGGAAUUUCCGGUGUAGCAGUGAAAUGCGUAGAGAUCGGAAGGAACAUCUGUGGCGAAGGCGACUAUCUGGGCCAACACUGACACUGAGGCACGAAGGCGUGGGGAGCAAACAGGAUUAGAUACCCCUGUAGUCCCUGUCUCUUAUAC
This 301-nucleotide ribosomal RNA is filed under the name uncultured bacterium. RNAcentral's name for it is "partial 16S ribosomal RNA". It matches the Rfam family "Bacterial small subunit ribosomal RNA", at positions 509 to 807 of the family's 1533-position model. The record is from RNAcentral.